RNAcentral lists this ribosomal RNA (253 nucleotides) under uncultured bacterium. RNAcentral describes it as "partial 16S ribosomal RNA". It matches the Rfam family "Bacterial small subunit ribosomal RNA", at positions 524 to 776 of the family's 1533-position model. The record is from RNAcentral.
GACGAGGGAUCCUAGCGUCGCUCGGAAUCAUUGGGCGUAAAGCGGGUGUAGGUGGCUUGGUAAGUCGGGUGUGAAAGCCCAGGGCUCAACCCUGGAAGUGCAUUCGAUACUGCUAAGCUUGAAUGCCAGAGAGGUUACUAGAAUACCUGGUGUAGUGGUGAAAUACGUAGAUAUCAGGUGGAACACCGGAGGCGAAGGCGGGUAACUGGCUGGACAUUGACACUGAGACCCGAAAGUGCGGGGAUCAAACAGG